Molecule: transfer RNA, 72 nt
Filed under: Capra hircus (goat)
Lineage: Eukaryota; Metazoa; Chordata; Mammalia; Artiodactyla; Bovidae
Also listed under: 1 other name
Rfam family: tRNA
About the family: Transfer RNA (tRNA) molecules are approximately 80 nucleotides in length. Their secondary structure includes four short double-helical elements and three loops (D, anti-codon, and T loops).
Source: Rfam by way of RNAcentral
UCCCUGGUGGUCCAGUGGCUAAGACUCUGCACUCCCAAUGCAGAAGGCCUGGGUUCAGUCCCUGUCAGAGAA